CAAAAAAACAAUCUCAGUUCAGACUGCAGGCUGCAACUCGCCUGCACGAAGUCGGAAUUGCUAGUAAUCGUAGGUCAGCAUACUACGGUGAAUACGUUCCCGGGCCUUGUACACACCGCCCGUCAAACCAUGAGAGUUGGCAACACCCGAAGUCGGUAGUCUAACCGCAAGGAGGACGCCGCCGAAGGUGGGGUUGAUGAUUAGGGUUAAGUCGUAACAAGGUAAC
Molecule: ribosomal RNA, 226 nt
Filed under: uncultured bacterium
Lineage: Bacteria
Description: partial 16S ribosomal RNA
Rfam family: Bacterial small subunit ribosomal RNA
Source: RNAcentral